UACGUAUGGGGCAAGCGUUAUCCGGAUUUACUGGGUGUAAAGGGAGCGUAGGCGGCGGGGCAAGCCUGAUGUGAAAGCCCGGGGCUCAACCCCGGGACUGCAUUGGGAACUGCCCUGCUGGAGUGCCGGAGGGGCAGGCGGAAUUCCUAGUGUAGCGGUGAAAUGCAUAGAUAUUAGGAGGAACACCAGUGGCGAAGGCGGCCUGCUGGACGGUGACUGACGCUGAGGCUCGAAAGCGUGGGGAGCAAACAGG
This 253-nucleotide ribosomal RNA is filed under the name uncultured bacterium. Its description in RNAcentral is "partial 16S ribosomal RNA". It matches the Rfam family "Bacterial small subunit ribosomal RNA", at positions 524 to 776 of the family's 1533-position model. The record is from RNAcentral.